CUUAAAAACCUUUUUAAUCUCUUGGAGAUGGUGUUGGAUGUUAAAUAAACUGUCGAUAUUAUUUUUCGAUUGUGAACGCGUUUAAUAACGCGAUAUUGCCAAGGUGAAUGGAUAUAUAUAAAUAUAAAUGGAUAUAUAUGUGUAUAAUGGGAAUUAUAUAUAACAUAUAGAUAGAAUCCCUAUACUAGGAGAGUGACGCCAUUAUGCUUGGAGCGUUCUUCGAGCCUGUUUGCUUAGGAUAAAAUUGACGACAUCGAUGCACCCUAUGUGUGUGAUAUAUAAUCAACACGGGAAAUUAUGUUUGUUCUGUCAGAUCCAUCGGAGAUACAUUCGAGAACGGAUAAGUGGUUAAGAGAAAUAAAAUUAAAUUAUCUGGCGAAUUUAAGGGGCUUUACGCACAAUAAACCAAUAACAGUUGUACGGAAAUUAAACGGUUUCAGGAAUUGAGGAAUUCAACUUUUGAUAAACGAAGAUCAAGUUUUUGUCAAUGUUUUUAGCUUAACUCCUAAUUUAAAGUAAUGCAAUUUUAAUUUCAGGAAAAAAACCACGUGCCGAUCUUUAUCGAGUUUCUCGAAACCAUAACUUUGGUCUACUAGUUUUUAAUGAAGAAAAUACAAGUAAAAACAACCUCUUCUUUAUAUAUUUAAUGGCUUAAUUUUUAAAUCAGAGUUAAUGUCUUUCUGCGCACGCGCGGAACUUGUUCGCCGCAAUCAUUGUCACUUAACCUGUAAAACUAACCUUGUUCUUUUAACAAAUUGAU
Cotesia glomerata is the source of this 760-nucleotide long non-coding RNA. RefSeq lists it as uncharacterized. Lineage: Eukaryota; Metazoa; Arthropoda; Insecta; Hymenoptera; Braconidae. The record is from RefSeq and is a predicted model, not a curated record. The transcript has 3 exons.